AACCCUAACUCAACUCAGUCACUCUCUGUCUCUCUCCGUCUCGACUAUGUCGACUCUCGACCUCACCUCACAGUCACAGACAACCUCAGUGCAUCACGGUCCUCACCACCCUCCUCGACCUCACCUCAAACAACCUCUCCGUCUCUGAUCUCUCUCUCUCGACUUCUCAUCCCUCAGACCCUCACUGUUCCUUCACGGCACAGAGACAGAGCCACGGCCACCGGCGCCGCUCACAUCUCUGAUCUCUCUCGACUUUUUCAUCCAGAUUCCAGUGCAUUGUGCACCGAUUCUCCCCCAAAUCAGGUUGCAACUUGCAACAGUUGCUUUGAUAUUUGAAGUACAAAGAAGUGCUAGGUCAGAAGCAAGAAAGGAGGAAGCACGCAAGCAAGAACUGGAGGUAUUGUGGCAAUACAGUCAAUGUAUUAAUUUGCAUUUAUAUGCCAACCUUGACAUGCUAUUAUUUCAUUGACCUCGUGAUAAUAUAGAAUUUUUAUUCAGUUACAUUUUUACCCUCAUUUGAACAAAUGACCUCCAAUCCUUUUCAAAUUGAAAAUGCUAAUAGAGUUGAAAGAAAAUGGUAACUCUUUAUUCUGGUAUUGAACUAUCUGAGCAAACUGCCAUCUUAAGUUUCAUUAGUGUGGUGAAAGAAAACAUCCCAAAAAUAUUUUGGGAAUCCCGAUUUGUCCCGAAAUCCCGAAACUAUUUCGGGAUUUCCGAAAUUGGGAUUCCCGAAAACUUCGGUUUGGGAAUUGGGACAAGGGUUUCGGUUCGGUAUCCCAUACUGAACCAGCCCUAGUGCUGCCAUGCUUACUUUUGAAUCUCUUGCCGAGACAUCUGAAUUUGCAAGAAAGUGGGUACCAUUCUGCAAGAAAUUUUUUAUUGAACCACGUGCACUAAGUUUUACUUCUCACAAAACAUUGACUACUUGAAGGACAAAGCGCAACAAUCUUUUGUGAAGGAGCGCGGAUUGAUGAAAGUAAGUACCUAAUGGCCGAAGCUUCUUCUAGUUAUAUAUACUAAAACCCAGUUUUUGGAUUACUAUUUAUCUAUAGUGUCCAGACUGAUUUGUCCUUGCAACUCUCAUUUGUUUCCGUCUAUCUUGCUUGGUUGGUGCAGUGAAGAGACAUUUUUACCCCUGUUUUCCAUGCGUCCCCAUCGUUAUUCCGUCGACUUUGACAGUCUUCUUAGCUCCUUAGGGUUUUCUUCCUUUGUUGUCUUUCUUGAUUUGGGUUUUGCUAUUUUUGUUUUGCUCCUUACUUCUAAUCCUGUGUUUCUCUUUGGUGAUCGUUGUUUCUUUUGCACAAAGACUGCGUGGUUUUGUUUAAGGGAUUUGAUUUUCUCUACGAUUUGUCAUUGAGGGUCAUUGUGCAUCUGUUUAAACCUAAGGUUUUUUGUGGAAACUGAUCAAUUGGUUUCCGGGCCUUCCAAAGUUGUGGUCGGGGGAAUACAAUCCGUGUUCGUCUUUUUUUUUUUUUGGUCUGGGAUUUCCUGUUUCUGUUCGGAAUUUUGGCUGAUUUUUAGCCUAGUUUGCGGGCGGCAUGUUUCCAGACAGCUGCGCAAGGGCUUUUACUCAGGCAAGUGUUGUUGUGGAUUUGGGGGCUAAAAGCGGAUUCUUUUUUUGCUGUCCUCCGUUAACAGUUCUGAAAUUUCCCAGGAACUACAAUUGUUGUUUUGGGUAUGGUUUCCUGCCUCUGCUUCUUGAUGAUUCUGUUUGUGUUUCUUAUUUGGUUCACUGGAAUUUGUGGUUUUGUUUCUUGAAUUUAAUUUUGUGUGGAUUCAUUUUGGUGGAUAUCUCAAAACUUGAGAGGGGAGUUGUGCUUUUAUUCAUUAUUUCUUUGCUUUGUGUGAUUUCAUUUGGAAGGAUGCUUAAGUGUUUUUUUUUUUUUUUUUUUUUUUUUCUUUUCUUGACUUGAAUUUCUUGGUUUUCUCUCUCAAUCUCAAAAGUUUUUCGGGCUAAGCAGAAAAAUCAAUUGAGGUCUACAAAAACAGAGUGAAAAACUUGAAUGUGCUUGUUGUGCGUAGGCAAAAUCCAUCUAAGCUGUUAUGCAAUUCCCUGACAUUUUAGGAUGGAAUAUUUAAGGGAGUGCGUUUUGCCGGUCAUUGUGUCUUGCUCGCACAGUGUUAUGCACAGUGGAUUACAAUUCGUGAUAAGAGGCUGCUUCUCUCUCUCUCUCUCUCUGUAUAUAUAUCUGUGUGUGUAUGUGUGUGCAAUGUUAUAUGAAAAGCUUUAUAUAUAAUUCGUGAUAAGGGAGGUUGUGGUAUGCUAACAUGGCGCUAAUGAAAACAGAAACCAUGAUGUCCAUGAACUGGACGAAGAAUGUGCGCCGCAAGUAUAGACUUUGUUUUUUCCUUGUGUGUGUUUGCAGCGUGCCUGCAACAGGCAUGUGGCUGGAUUUGUGGAUAGUUAGAAAAUAACAAGGUCGAGUCAUGUGCAUUGUUGAUUGUUGGUUUUAAAUGGAUUAGGAAUUUUUGGGGAAAAAAAUGCGAGGGUUGGUUCCAGUUUUGGAUUGGUAUUUUUGUUGUGGUUUCGAAUGAUUUUGUAUUCAUUGUCGCCAACUUUUGCUGAAAAAAGGUUUGUUGUUUACUUCUCUA
Long non-coding RNA from Pyrus x bretschneideri (Chinese white pear), 2592 nucleotides. RefSeq lists it as uncharacterized. The record is from RefSeq and is a predicted model, not a curated record. Lineage: Eukaryota; Viridiplantae; Streptophyta; Magnoliopsida; Rosales; Rosaceae. The transcript has 3 exons.